GAUACCCGAAUGGGGAAACCCAGUGUGACUCGUCACACUAUCAUUAACUGAAUCCAUAGGUUAAUGAGGCGAACCGGGGGAACUGAAACAUCUAAGUACCCCGAGGAAAAGAAAUCAACCGAGAUUCCCCCAGUAGCGGCGAGCGAACGGGGAGGAGCCCAGAGCCUGAAUCAGCAUGUGUGUUAGUGGAAGCGUCUGGAAAGGCGCGCGAUACAGGGUGACAGCCCCGUACACAAAAGCGCAUGUGCUGUGAGCUCGAUGAGUAGGGCGGGACACGUGGUAUCCUGUCUGAAUAUGGGGGGACCAUCCUCCAAGGCUAAAUACUCCUGACUGACCGAUAGUGAACCAGUACCGUGAGGGAAAGGCGAAAAGAACCCCGGCGAGGGGAGUGAAAAAGAACCUGAAACCGUGU
Molecule: ribosomal RNA, 412 nt
Filed under: Salmonella enterica subsp. enterica serovar Enteritidis
Lineage: Bacteria; Pseudomonadati; Pseudomonadota; Gammaproteobacteria; Enterobacterales; Enterobacteriaceae
Description: partial 23S ribosomal RNA
Rfam family: Bacterial large subunit ribosomal RNA
Source: RNAcentral